UACAGAGGUCCCAAGCGUUGUUCGGAUUCACUGGGCGUAAAGGGUGCGUAGGUGGCGGGGUAAGUCUGAUGUGAAAUCUCCGAGCUUAACUCGGAAACUGCAUCGGAUACUGCCUUGCUCGAGGGUUGGAGGGGGGACUGGAAUACUUGGUGUAGCAGUGAAAUGCGCAGAUAUCAGGAGGAACACCAAUGGCGAAGGCAGCUCGCUGGAACGGAACUGACGCUGAGGCGCGAAAGCGUGGGGAGCGAACAGG
This 253-nucleotide ribosomal RNA is filed under the name uncultured bacterium. Its description in RNAcentral is "partial 16S ribosomal RNA". It matches the Rfam family "Bacterial small subunit ribosomal RNA", at positions 524 to 776 of the family's 1533-position model. The record is from RNAcentral.